This 2269-nucleotide unclassified non-coding RNA is filed under the name Acanthaster planci (crown-of-thorns starfish). RNAcentral's name for it is "U11/U12 small nuclear ribonucleoprotein 35 kDa protein-like, transcript variant X3". Lineage: Eukaryota; Metazoa; Echinodermata; Asteroidea; Valvatida; Acanthasteridae. The record is from RNAcentral.
ACGCGUCGCAUCGGCAUUUGGCGAGACUCCCGAAGUCAGCUAGACUGUAGACGGUCGCCAGUUCGCAGCGCAGGAAGAUGGAGUCUGAUGUGAGAUGGGAGCCUACCCUUAGAGUUUACUGCCCGUUGAAGGCAGGCAGUAUCGAUGGCACAGACACAAGACCCCAUGAUAAGGCCAUUGAAAGAGCCAUGAAGGCCAUCUACAAGCCCAAUAAAGCUGUUCAGGGUGACCCGGACUGCACGCUGUUCAUUGGAAGGCUUGAUUCUUCAACGUCAGAGCACACUCUCAGUAAGAUUUUCUCAAAGUACGGAGACAUUGUCCAUGUCCGUGUAGUACGAGACAUUGUCACUGGAAUGUCCAAGCGAUAUGCCUUCAUUGAGUAUAGCAAAGAGCGGUAUGCCUCCAGAGCACGACGGGAUGCCAACCGUUUAGCUAUUGACGGCUCAGAAAUUCUGGUUGAGUACGAAUGUGAACGAAUUCUGCCAAAGUGGAUACCAAGAAGAUUAGGUGGUGGGUUUGGUGGCAAGAAGGAGUCGGGACAGCUUCGGUUUGGAGGAUCAGACAGACCAUUCCGCAGGCCAAUCAUCAUCAGCAAGCAAGAUGACGGUAGUGGUAGAGUGGGCAGCAUUUUCAGGACUGUUUCAGUGCAAAGCUGUAGCAAAUAUCAGUGAUAAAAGACUGAUCCAAGCUAAGCAGGACAGGUGAGGCGACCAAACACUCUUAUCACGAGCUGCCAGGAAUGGGAAUCGUGUGGCAAGCGAGAGUAAACAAAAAAAUACUGAAUGGUUGUAUUCUAACGGUCUCAAAGGUCUAGCUGGUAAUGUACUCAACGUCCUACCACACUUCUAUCUACAAUGAACGACAAUUACUGUGCCAUUAAGUUCUCGGUUUAAUGCAGAUGGAACCGAAUCGACCAUGGAGUGGAAAUAAAGGUUCUGAUAUAAGAAAUUUGGAUACUUCACUCUACAAAUUGAAGCACAUUAACAGAACCCGGAUAUACCGUAUCGAGAAGUUUUUACCCAAGAUGUUCUUGCUGUCAUCGCACUAAUAUUUAUUUAUUUAUAAUUUAGUAUUUAUAUUUUAUUAUUUAAUUUAUUUAUUUAUAUCUGGCACAUUUAGGGUGAAGUGAUAAUUUAGAAGACAAUGAAGAAAUUUUCAGUUUUAGGGGUGGGAGGAAAGCCCUUGGUGCAUAUUCCAGGGACUGAAAACUGAAUCCAGAUGCUAACCUAGGUGAGAUUCGAACCUGCGUCAAAGAGGUGGAAGGCGAGGAAAGAGCCACUACACCAACCUGACUCCCAGUAAUCUGGCUAAUCUUAGUCUAUACAUUUACCCCGAAGUGUCCCAUCUUUAUGUGUGUUAAGGUAUGCCAUUUCCUUUUAUUCGUUUUUUAAUAAACUUGAAAAGAUGUGUCAUAUUUUUCAUUUAUCCAUUGAAGCAGUACUAAAGUAUUACCUACGACCUUUUUUACGCUUUUAACAAAGGCAGAAUUACUUAAGUUAAUGUUCAGUGUAUUGAAUUGAAUCAAACAACACGAAAAUAACAGCGACACGUGCGUUACAGCCAGGCAGGUAUGUACAUUGCAAAUAAUAUCACUCACGAUGAUGGACAAUUGGCGUCAUCAUCACUUCCGUUGUUGUUAAUUAAAAUGCGCAACGUCUUCAAGCCGUCUCUUUCGCGACUUUUCAAAAAAUCUUGUUGAUCAGUUGGACGUUCACCCAAAACGAACUUAAUGAGAUACCCAAAAAUAUUUGAAUUCCAUCUUAUCAAUAAAGCAUUCCAUAUUUCUCAGAAAUGUUUCAUGAGUGAUCACUUUUGGCGCUAGUCGACAAUUUUCAAGGACUCUGGAGACAAAAGUCUUUCUACCUCUCUGCAUGAGAGGUAGAUUUUUGUUUAAGUAUUUAUCUUAGGAAGCAAUUGUCGAACCACAAAGAUAAGCUUGACAGUAUAAAUUUAGGAGAUACCUUUAAGUUCCAAUAAAAAUGUUUUUUCAAAUCUAUCACACAGGCGUUACUCAAUAAAAGACAGCCAUUAAGUGCCAUUCUUAAGAACUGUCUGUAUACACAAGGUCAGGGUGUGCUUGCUAGUAUUAAACAGAAAUGUAAUCUAUUCAAGUUAUGCACUGUAAUAUCAAAAAUUAUCAUGCUAUGUCUAGUGUCGGACUUGCUUUUCUGUUGAAGUCAGGGGAACUGUUACAACCAGUAAACUGAACUGGACAAAUGGGUAGAGAGACUAGAUCUUUUAUCCUUUCAUUUAGGUUGUGUAAUUCGCA